CCUACGGGAGGCAGCAGUGAGGAAUAUUGGUCAAUGGACGAGAGUCUGAACCAGCCACGUAGCGUGAACGAUGACUGCCCUAUGAGUUGUAAACUUCUUUUAUAUGGGAAUAAAAUGUUCCACGUGUGGGAUUUUGUAUGUACCAUAUUAUUAAAGAUCGGCUAAGUCCGUGCUCGCGGACGCGUUCAUACGGAGGAUCCGAGGGUUAUCCGGAUGUAUUGGGGUUAAAGGGAGCGUAUGUGGAUUGGUAAGUCAGUUGGGAAAGUGUGGGGCUUAACCGUAAAAUUGCAGUUGAAACUGGCAGUCUUGAGUACAGUAGAGGUGGGCGGAAUUCGUGGUGUAGCGGUGAAAUGCUUAGAUAUAAAGAAGAACUCCGAGUGCGAAGGCAGCUCACUGGACUGCAACUGACACUGAGGCUCGAAAGUGUGGGUAUCAAACAGGAUUAGAUACCCUGGUAGUC
Molecule: ribosomal RNA, 460 nt
Filed under: uncultured bacterium
Lineage: Bacteria
Description: partial 16S ribosomal RNA
Rfam family: Bacterial small subunit ribosomal RNA
Source: RNAcentral